GGUAUUACACAAUUAUUAUUAGUAAUAUUAUUAUUAUUAUCAGCUACAAUGACCCUUAAAGGAAUGAAAACCGAAAAAUGAUUUGGCUGAAAAAACGCUUUAUUAUAAUUUCACAAAAUAUUAUGUCCUGACAAAACUUUAAACGUUUUCUUAGAGAAGUUAUGUGUAAAAAAUCUCCCUUUUGAAAAUAAAUAAAAAGAUUUGCAGGUGCGAUUCUCCGUCCGCUUGCAUAUUUUUUAAAAUUCCGCAGAUAAGCAAAUGUACAUGGUAUGAUAACUGUCAAUUUCAUGGUAUACCAUGAUAUCGGUAUACCGCUGCAACCCUAGCUGUGACUCUGUUGUCAACUGCACUUUCAUUUUGGUAUCAGCCACCUCCCUCAGAGUGAAUUAGUCUAAUGUCAUAGAAGAGUUUAAAUCAGCUUGUGUGAAACAACAAACAGCCUUGCAGUGUAUCUCACAGGUACACGUACCUUAACCCCCUAACAAUCAUUAGGUUUAUGAGGCUGCUGAGUGACAGCAGAUAUUGUUAAACUCAUUCAGGUUAACAGAGACAAACAGGUCACUCCGAUAGGCUGUAGAGAUUGUUUCUGUUAGAAAGAGGCAACUGCCCAGCCUGACGCUGUAUGUCAACAGACUGAGGAAAUUUAUAACAGAGCUUAUGAAUGUGGACAUGGCAUGGUCAGGAUGGCCAUAAACCUUUUUCCUGUAUCUGGUGCUAAUUAGAUUCUGCUUUGAUUAAUAGAGACACCAACCAGCUCCUUGACAACAAAACCCUUCUCUUUCACAGCUGCAAAAUAUUACAGUGGCUGCUAAGGUGCCAUGUGCCAUGAGUUUUCAUAACCUUUAAUACAACUGCAGACACUGAGUAAAGAUUUCACAUGAGAGUUUUCUGCUCACAGUAAUCUCAGUCUUCGUUCUAAUGAAGAAAGAGGUAAGGUAAGUUACCCAGUGUUUGCUAAAAAAAAAUUAAAGCCAAAAAUUAAGCAAACCCAUUUCAGUGGGUGUGAUGUGGAGUAAAAUCCAUGUCCUGGUGUAAAUGACAGGAACGUUAUGUGGUAGAAAAGAAUUUUAAUCACCACUAAAUAAUAUAAGUUGUUUAAAGAAAGUUGGGUUUUUUUGAUGAAUGUUUUGAUGAUGUUUUUUUCUCUUUGUCUUGAGUGAAGAGCAUUUUGUUACAGCAUUUUCUUUUUAGACGCUGAUUUUGUUGACAACACAACACAAUUUGGAGCAUGCAUUUGCUGUUUUGCAAACUGAAACACAGUUUUGGUUUUUGUGUUGCCUAUUCUCAAAACACAACCUUUUUCCUAUUUCUAAAAAAUAAUCCAAACAAUAGAGAAACACUAUAGCAGAGAGCUAUUAAACAUUUUAACAAUCAUACACACACACACUGACGCUUAUAUCAAUAAAUAGCCCAACACUGCCAAAUUAAAUUCUGCCAUUUGCAGAUCACAUCUGAUAUGAUCCCAGUUUUUUUUUUUUUUUGUUGAUUUUUGUUAUUUAACAUGUUUUUACUGUUUGAAUGUUUUUCUUGUCUUACAGUCUGACUUGUUAUUAUUUGUCUUAUUUGUUAGAGUGGUAAUUUUAACUGUAGCUGCAAAUCAAAAUUCCCUUCAUGGGACAAUAAAGAUUUACCUGCCUUGUCUUGACAUGUUUCCUUUAUUCAUUUACCAUUGCUAUUUACCGUAGGCGUAUUAUUUGAGCACUUCCAUUUAAAGAAACAAUCCCCAAUAAGGCUCAGUCUCAACCCUGUUGCCAACCUAGUCUGGAAGUUAUAGUGACACAUGGAGGAAAUCAUUAUAUGGAGAGACAAGACUGCGGUGAACCCAACAAAACAUAAUCAUCUGCAUAAAUGUUCCCCAAACCUGCUGUUACAGUAAUAUAAAUUAAGUUUAUGCUAUAGUCUCUUUGUAAAAUUAGAAGAUUUGACAGUAUGUGCUUUUAUUUGCACACUAGAUACUUUUAUAGAUAUUUUACAGUGUGGAGAUUAUAGUAGGAGGCUGUUGCAAAUGCAAAAUAGAUAGAUAAGGUGCAGAACAAACGCAGGGCUCUUUUUUAUAAUGUCUCUAUAAAGGUAAAUAAAGAAAAGCAGAACCACAAUCUCUCAGUGUUUAUCAUUCACCUUUCACCCUCCAAAUAGCACACACCAAACAGAUCAAGCCAUGUUUUAAAGCAAGAGAAGAGAAAAGACGUAACAUUUCUUACAAAUAAAACUUGAAGUACUUGUACUGUAUCGCUUGCUUGUUUGUUAAGGAUGCUGGUACGAUUUUUGAUGACAUUUAGCUCUUGUUCUUAUGGAGUUUGAAUGCACUUAGUGUAAGGUGCUUUGAACUAAAGAUUCUGUCAAUAAAUGUAAUGUAAUAUAACAACACCCCUGGUUGGAAACAAAUCAGUUUACUGUAUUAAAAAACACACCAUAAACAUAUCUGAUUUAGUGAGGACAAAUGUGAACUAUGGGCUUGUAUUUAUCAGUUUCAUUGACCAACAGAACAAAGAACGUCUUGUAUAUGUUGCAGAGGAGACUGGUCCAUAGAGGCAAAGGAGGUUGCUCCUCCUCUAUUUUUAAGAGGCAAGAGGGAGAUCAAAAUAUAAAAAAGAGUAAUCGGUUGAAAUAAACCAUUACCAUUCUCAGUAUCAUUUAUAAAAUAUUUUUUCUAUCUCCUUUGGAAAAAAUGUAUUAUUGAAAUUCUGAUUAAAAUGCUUCAACAGCGACACCUGCAGGGCAGAGGGGAAAGGGCAGUCAGUGUGAAGUGGUGGUGGGGGGCAGAGGAGGACGGGCUCCUGCUGUCCCCCUUAGGGCGGGAUCUCGUUUACCAAUUUAAUGACCUUCAUUUUUUUUCAUUCUAAUCUGUUAUUGGCUCAAAACACAUGAAAUUAUGCUCGGGGGGCGUCCUCCUUAACCGAUCAACAACCAAAAUACAAUAUUGACAUGGAGUUGGCCAUAGAUAGAUUCGUGGAGUAGCAGCAUUUUAGAAAAUAAAUUAUCAUGUGCAAACUGCUCACUACUUUUAAACACAUCAUUAGGAAACUACAUUUAUUUAGGCCUUUUCAACAGAGUCCAAAUGUCCUUUUUUCAGAUUUACGUUUCCCUUUUUUUAAUCGAACAGUAGCUAGCUAGCUACUUGCGUUAGCCAACGCAACCAUGGCCACCAUCACUCAGACAAAAGAUGUGUAAUUUUGUUGGAAAGUGUGGAAAAGUAUGAGGGAUCACCGCGUUGGAUAAAGGCAUUCUUCCGGUAACACUCGUUGCUUUUUCACAUGAUGUUUUGUUUGAAAGCCCCCUCGCGUGUCGGAGAAUAUUGCAACGGACAGCGCGUUCAGCUUAAACGCUUCUGGGCAUGCUCGCAGCUCUGCGGAGGCACGCGCCGCGGUGUCUCGCGCGAGUAUAAACAAAGCUUCGGCUGUCCGGGCCGGACCCACGGCGGGACCACGGUGGCGUGCCGCGGUCUGGAUCCGACGGGCUGCCGGCAUGGAGGAUGUUGCUGGUUUGAUUAUUGCUAGAUUUAUUUUAACCAGCCACCUAAUCUGGACCAGGUUUUUACCAAUGGUGUUGGGAUAAUUACUUUGAUAUAUUUACUUUGUAGCCUAGAAAUAGAGCUUGUGUGUUUAAACUACUUUGUUAAGGAUAAUUGCCAGCUGGUUACUUAUAUGUAUAUUUAAUUUCUCUUAAUAGAAACCACACACUACCUUAAACGUGUCCUGGUGAAACGGUACUUGUGAUAAUGAAUCGUUAAGCUUUGUUUGUCUAACUGGAAAUCAGGCCAGCUUGGAUUCAACCAGCAAGUGGUCUUCAUCAGUCACCACACUUUGUUUCACAGGUGUUGAACGCUGGCCUGCUUCUUGUUUUAUCUCACACCAUUGAUAAAUAGGCAGCUGUUGGUCGGACAAAACAAGGAAUUUGAAGACGUCACUUUGGGUUCUGGGAAAUUAAGCUCUAGCAAAAGUCUUUGCAGAUCCAUCAGUUCAUCAUUCCAUAAACUUCUUUAGCCAUCAGCCUCAGCAGAAGUCAUCAGCCACCACCACCAGUGUCUGGUUUCCAUGGGGGGAUUUAUUCUGCCACUGCUCAGGGCAGAUGCCUCCAUUACCAAAAGCUCCCUGUGGAAUCUAAGCGCCAAAGACUCUGUCAAGAUUAACAUCUCACAUCAUCUGUUUCAAUAAAAAAUCUUUACUUCA
Siniperca chuatsi (mandarin fish) is the source of this 4169-nucleotide long non-coding RNA. RefSeq lists it as uncharacterized. The record is from RefSeq and is a predicted model, not a curated record. NCBI's taxonomy places the organism in Eukaryota, Metazoa, Chordata, Actinopteri, Centrarchiformes, Sinipercidae. The transcript is spliced from 3 exons.